UAGGGAUUUAAUUGAAAUUAAUCAAAAAGGGGAAAAAUUAAAAGAAACUUUUAAUUGCUUAGGGGUCUAAUUGCCGAAUUUCCAAAGUCCAGGGGUCAAAUUGAAAAUGUCCAUGGCUACUUGAAACGUCGCCGUUACUGGUGGAAUCCAUUGCUGUCGAAACGUCGUCGUUGCUGGUGGAACAGCCGUGUUCGUCUUCUACAUCCCGAUUCAACAGGCUGAAGAUCUGCAACGAAGUUGAUCCAAUCGUGGACCACGUCUAUCGCCCACGAUCUCGUCGGGGAAGAUAAGAGUCCUGCAAAGACAGAUAAUUGACCCCGCCAUUGCCAUCCACUCUGUACACACCCCUGCACAAAAAAAAUAAAAGACUCAAAACAAACCCAUAGCAGGCCGGCAUCAUCUUUUUAGCGUUAAAAGCUACUGAGAAAAAAAAAAAAAAAGGAAAGCUCAGACUUGUGAUCACAGAAAGGAAAGCAAAAGGGAAACAUCAUCAGCAUUGCACGCACCUUCAGUCUACAGAAGCAGGUAUGCCCGUUUCUUCACCCCUUCUUGUAUCUUCAUUUCAAGUUUAAUUGUUACAAGAACACUGUGCGAAGGUAAUUU
This 603-nucleotide long non-coding RNA is filed under the name Populus tremula. RNAcentral describes it as "long non-coding RNA (PTRE_LNC001122)". The record is from RNAcentral. Lineage: Eukaryota; Viridiplantae; Streptophyta; Magnoliopsida; Malpighiales; Salicaceae.